RNAcentral lists this ribosomal RNA (691 nucleotides) under uncultured bacterium. RNAcentral describes it as "bacterial SSU rRNA". It matches the Rfam family "Bacterial small subunit ribosomal RNA", at positions 766 to 1456 of the family's 1533-position model. The record is from RNAcentral.
GAGCAANCAGGAUUAGAUACCCUGGUAGUNCACGCCGUAAACGAUGAGUGCUAGGUGUUAGACCCUUUCCGGGGUUUAGUGCCGCAGCUAACGCAUUAAGCACUCCGCCUGGGGAGUACGACCGCAAGGUUGAAACUCAAAGGAAUUGACGGGGGCCCGCACAGGCGGUGGAGCAUGUGGUUUAAUUCGAAGCAACGCGAAGAACCUUACCAGGUCUUGACAUCCCUCUGACCGCUCUAGAGAUAGAGUUUUCCUUCGGGACAGAGGUGACAGGUGGUGCAUGGUUGUCGUCAGCUCGUGUCGUGAGAUGUUGGGUUAAGUCCCGCAACGAGCGCAACCCCUAUUGUUAGUUGCCAUCAUUCAGUUGGGCACUCUAGCGAGACUGCCGGUAAUAAACCGGAGGAAGGUGGGGAUGACGUCAAAUCAUCAUGCCCCUUAUGACCUGGGCUACACACGUGCUACAAUGGUUGGUACAACGAGUCGCAAGCCGGUGACGGCAAGCUAAUCUCUUAAAGCCAGUCUCAGUUCGGAUUGUAGGCUGCAACUCGCCUACAUGAAGUCGGAAUCGCUAGUAAUCGCGGAUCAGCACGCCGCGGUGAAUACGUUCCCGGGCCUUGUACACACCGCCCGUCACACCACGAGAGUUUGUAACACCCGAAGUCGGUGAGGUAACCUUUUAGGAGCCAGCCGC